This 482-nucleotide ribosomal RNA is filed under the name uncultured soil bacterium. RNAcentral describes it as "bacterial SSU rRNA". It matches the Rfam family "Bacterial small subunit ribosomal RNA", at positions 26 to 523 of the family's 1533-position model. The record is from RNAcentral.
AGAGUGAACGCUGGCGGUAGGCCUAACACAUGCAAGUCGAACGGCAGCACAGUGGUAGCAAUACCAUGGGUGGCGAGUGGCGGACGGGUGAGGAAUACAUCGGAAUCUACCUUUUCGUGGGGGAUAACGUAGGGAAACUUACGCUAAUACCGCAUACGCCCUUCGGGGGAAAGCCGGGGAUCGCAAGACCUGGCGCGGAUAGAUGAGCCGAUGUCGGAUUAGCUAGUUGGUGAGGUAAUGGCUCACCAAGGCGACGAUCCGUAGCUGGUCUGAGAGGAUGAUCAGCCACACUGGGACUGAGACACGGCCCAGACUCCUACGGGAGGCAGCAGUGGGGAAUAUUGGACAAUGGGCGAAAGCCUGAUCCAGCAAUGCCGCGUGAGUGAUGAAGGCCUUAGGUUGUAAAGCUCUUUUACCCGGGAAGAUAAUGACUGUAACCGGAGAAUAAGCUCCGGCUAACUCCGUGCCAGCAGCCGCGGUAA